RNAcentral lists this small RNA (210 nucleotides) under Arabidopsis thaliana (thale cress). Its description in RNAcentral is "ATSL155630". Lineage: Eukaryota; Viridiplantae; Streptophyta; Magnoliopsida; Brassicales; Brassicaceae. The record is from RNAcentral.
AUAAAUACCCUAUAGAAGAAACUCAAAACUGCUUGAAUAGUAAAGAACGUGGGCAAUUAUAAUAACUAGAGAAGGAACAAAUAUGAAAGUUCUAUUGAUAUAGAGAGACUGAGAGAGAGACGAACUGUUCCUGUGGAGGACGUCGAAGAGAGAGAGAGACGGAGAGAACGAUGAUUACCAUAAUUUAGGUUUAGGGUUUCCAAAAAAAAA